UCGAACGCGAAAGUGGAGCAUCCAUGAGUAGAGUGGCAAACGGGUGAGUAACACGUGGGUGACCUGCCUUCGAGCGGGGGAUAACGUCCCGAAAGGGACGCUAAUACCGCAUAACAUCCUGCCUUUUAAGAGGUGGAGAUCAAAGCCGGGGAUUCGCAAGAACCUGGCACUUGAAGAGGGGCCCGCGCCUGAUUAGCUAGUUGGUGGGGUAAUGGCCUACCAAGGCAACGAUCAGUAUCCGGCCUGAGAGGGCGGACGGACACACUGGGACUGAGACACGGCCCAGACUCCUACGGGAGGCAGCAGUGGGGAAUUGUUCGCAAUGGGCGCAAGCCUGACGACGCAACGCCGCGUGGAGGAUGAAGACCUUCGGGUCGUAAACUCCUUUCGAUCGAGACGAAUGUUUUUCGGCUGAAUAAUCCGGAAAAGUGACGGUACCGAGAGAAGAAGCCCCGGCUAACUCUGUGCCAGCAGCCGCGGUAAUACAGGGGGGGCAAGCGUUGUUCGGAAUUACUGGGCGUAAAGGGCUCGUAGGUGGCCAACUAAGUCAGACGUGAAAUCCCUCAGCUUAACUGGGGAACUGCGUCUGAUACUGGAUGGCUUGAGUUUGGGAGAGGGAUGCGGAAUUCCAGGUGUAGCGGUGAAAUGCGUAGAUAUCUGGAGGAACACCGGUGGCGAAGGCGGCAUCCUGGACCAACACUGACACUGAGGAGCGAAAGCCAGGGGAGCAAACGGGAUUAGAUACCCCGGUAGUCCUGGCCCUAAAC
This 767-nucleotide ribosomal RNA is filed under the name uncultured bacterium. RNAcentral describes it as "bacterial SSU rRNA". It matches the Rfam family "Bacterial small subunit ribosomal RNA", at positions 62 to 807 of the family's 1533-position model. The record is from RNAcentral.